This 321-nucleotide ribosomal RNA is filed under the name uncultured fungus. Its description in RNAcentral is "bacterial SSU rRNA". It matches the Rfam family "Eukaryotic small subunit ribosomal RNA", at positions 1320 to 1658 of the family's 1831-position model. Lineage: Eukaryota; Fungi. The record is from RNAcentral.
CGACCGAGAACGAGACCGACCCUUACCUUUUAAAUAGCCAGGCUAUCUUUGGCGGGUCGCGGGUUUUUAAAAGGGCCUAUCGGGUCUAACCGAUGGAAGUUUGAGGCAAUAACAGGUCUGUGAUGCCCUUAGAUGUUUUGGGCCGCACGCGCGCUACACUGACAGAGCCAACGAGUUUAUUUCCUUGGCCGAAAGGUCUGGGUAAUCUUGUUAAACUCUGUCGUGCUGGGGAUAGAGCAUUGCAAUUAUUGCUCUUCAACGAGGAAUUCCUAGUAAGCGCAAGUCAUCAGCAUGCGUUGAUUACGUACCUGCCCCCUUUUA